Molecule: ribosomal RNA, 564 nt
Filed under: uncultured Methanosarcina sp.
Lineage: Archaea; Methanobacteriati; Methanobacteriota; Methanomicrobia; Methanosarcinales; Methanosarcinaceae
Description: bacterial SSU rRNA
Rfam family: Archaeal small subunit ribosomal RNA
Source: RNAcentral
GCGCGAAAACUUUACAAUGCGGGAAACCGUGAUAAGGGGACACCGAGUGCCAGCAUCAUAUGCUGGCUGUCCAGAUGUGUAAAAUACAUCUGUUAGCAAGGGCCGGGCAAGACCGGUGCCAGCCGCCGCGGUAACACCGGCGGCCCGAGUGGUGAUCGUGAUUAUUGGGUCUAAAGGGUCCGUAGCCGGUUUGGUCAGUCCUCCGGGAAAUCUGAUAGCUCAACUAUUAGGCUUUCGGGGGAUACUGCCAGACUUGGAACCGGGAGAGGUAAGAGGUACUACAGGGGUAGGAGUGAAAUCUUGUAAUCCCUGUGGGACCACCUGUGGCGAAGGCGUCUUACCAGAACGGGUUCGACGGUGAGGGACGAAAGCUGGGGGCACGAACCGGAUUAGAUACCCGGGUAGUCCCAGCCGUAAACGAUGCUCGCUAGGUGUCAGACAUGGCGCGACCGUGUCUGGUGCCGCAGGGAAGCCGUGAAGCGAGCCACCUGGGAAGUACGGCCGCAAGGCUGAAACUUAAAGGAAUUGGCGGGGGAGCACAACAACGGGUGGAGCCUGCGGUUU